UCUGAGCAAUCCGUUCCAGUGCCUCACCACUGUCUCACCAUUUGUUCCCUGUGCCUAAUCUAAACCACCUUAUUUUGCUGGGGCCCCAAGAGCAGAAUGCAGUACUCCAGGAGAUUUUCCACUACCAAGCAGAAAAAGAGGAACAAGGGAGCAAGAAAGAAGGAGAACAAGGAAAAACAAGAGCUACUUCCAACAUUCUCUAUCCAAACACAUGACCUUCCUAAAACAGCCCUAAAGAACAUCCCCUCUCUUCUUGAGAUUUCUACUCCAGGAUAUUUGAGAAGUGUGCUAUUCCUGUGGUUAGACAGAAGAUACCAGUCCCAGGAGGAGGCCAUCCAACAGCUCUUGGACCACAGAGUAAGUUCAAAAAGCAGAAUGGAGAAGAUAGCUAACAGGAAAGAAAUAACCUCAUCAUCUGACACAGCUGCACAUAGUUUCUAAAUAUAAAUAUAAAUGUUAA
Molecule: long non-coding RNA, 460 nt
Organism: Coturnix japonica (Japanese quail)
Lineage: Eukaryota; Metazoa; Chordata; Aves; Galliformes; Phasianidae
Source: RefSeq, a predicted model, not a curated record